AGCAGCCGCGGUAAUUCCAGCUCCAAUAGCGUAUAUUAAAGUUGUUGCAGUUAAAAGCUCGUAGUUGAAUUUCGGGAUCAAAGGAUCGGUCAUGCCUUGGUAUGUACUGGUUUUAUUGGUUCUCACCUUCUAAAGAACCAUAAUGUCAUUCAUUUGAUGUUACGGGGAAUUAGGACUGUUACCUUGAAAAAUUAGAGUGUUUAAAGCAGGCUUACGCUUGAAUACAUUAGCAUGGAAUAAUGAAAUAGGACAUCAGAUUCUAUUUUGUUGGUUUCUAGGAUCGAUGUAAUGAUUAAUAGGGAUAGUUGGGGGCAUUAGUAUUCAAUUGUCAGAGGUGAAAUUCUUGGAUUUAUUGAAGACUAACUACUGCGAAAGCAUUUGCCAAGGAUGUUUUCAUUAAUCAAGAACGAAAGUUAGGGAUCGAAGACGAUCAGAUACCGUCGUAGUCUUAACCAUAAACUAUGCCGACUAGGGAUCGGAUGAUGUUAAUUUUAUAAUUGACUCAUUCGGUA
Molecule: unclassified non-coding RNA, 512 nt
Filed under: uncultured Glomus
Lineage: Eukaryota; Fungi; Glomeromycota; Glomeromycetes; Glomerales; Glomeraceae
Description: SSU rRNA
Rfam family: Eukaryotic small subunit ribosomal RNA
Source: RNAcentral